Molecule: long non-coding RNA, 523 nt
Organism: Marmota flaviventris (yellow-bellied marmot)
Lineage: Eukaryota; Metazoa; Chordata; Mammalia; Rodentia; Sciuridae
Source: RefSeq, a predicted model, not a curated record
CCAAGGCUUAUUUCAAGAAUGCAUACUCCUGAAGCUACGAAAUGCCACUGAGAAUUCCUGGUAACCUGAGAGGAGCUGAGUUGAGAGCCUGAGCACUUGAUUGUGCAGACUUAACUUCCAGACCCUAAUGUAUUGGCAGAGAGGACACUUGACUCCUAUUCAGCAGUUGGGUCUCUGUAUCCUUAGGAUGUGGAAGAACCGUCCGGACUUCCUACUCUGACUGGGAAGGAGAAGAGCUUCAAUGUCGCAGCCAAAGAACAAUAAGAAGGGACACCCCGAUUCCAUUCUAUGUACCUGUGUGAUUUCCCCAAGAUGACAGCAGGAAAGACCACAUUUUCUCAUCUCCUUCGUUCUUUCCAAGAAACCCAGCUUUUCUGGGACACAGACAGAGACCCCAGAGACCAAGGAGCCAAGCAAGAGUGUAAUUCUUUGUCCUCGAAUCGGGCUAACCCAGAAUAAAGCCAGCCAUGCUCUCCCUGUGGACUGUCUGCAGCCUUUUUAAAUAAAUGCAAUUUAGUCUGCA